Molecule: small nuclear RNA, 192 nt
Organism: Triplophysa dalaica
Lineage: Eukaryota; Metazoa; Chordata; Actinopteri; Cypriniformes; Nemacheilidae
Product: U2 spliceosomal RNA
Exons: 1
Source: RefSeq, a predicted model, not a curated record
AUCGCUUCUCGGCCUUUUGGCUAAGAUCAAGUGUAGUAUCUGUUCUUAUCAGUUUAAUAUCUGAUACGUCCCCUAUCUGGGGACCAUAUAUUAAAAGGAUUUUUGAAACGCCGGAGCUGGAAUGCGGGGCUUGCUCCGCCACUCCACGCAUCGACUUGGUAUUGCAGUGUCUCCAGGAACGGUGCAAUUCCC